Molecule: ribosomal RNA, 561 nt
Filed under: Triticum aestivum (bread wheat)
Lineage: Eukaryota; Viridiplantae; Streptophyta; Magnoliopsida; Poales; Poaceae
Description: partial small subunit ribosomal RNA
Source: RNAcentral
AUGGCCUCACAAUGCCCUCUGAAAUACUCGUCAAGGUUGAAAUUGUUAUUAAGGAAGACAAAACGCCCGAGAUCAUGGCUACCCAUCCAGUCGCGUGACUGGAGUUGUUACAACCCCAUGUACUACGAUGCUUACAUCGUGGAGUUGCAUGGCGAGUUGUUGAUUGCGGAGAGGGAACGAUGGUUGAGCAACGGUAAGUAUUUCUUCAGGGUAUUCAAGCUCGUCUAUGCUGACAAUGGCGAGUCUCACAAGCAGAAGUGGGCACACGUGACGAAUUUCGGCGAGUAUGCAUUAUUCUUGGGGUUGUCUAAAGCAGUACAUGUGCCGGUUGGUGGGCAUCAUGGUAUAAAGAGAAAUCACAUCUACUAUUAUAGCCCUACAACUGAAGAAGAAUUGCCUGAUGACAAGGUGGUGUACUCUGUACGGACAGCCGAUGGUGAUCAAGUGUACUGCAGGGAAGACCAAGGAAGGACAGGAUAUUAUUUAAUGCAUUGUUAUAAUAAUCCCACAUGGCGGGGACGUUGUAAUUCUGCCAGGUGGCAUUACCCUCCGGACUUCUAG